CUAAUACUACCUCCGUCCGAAAAUACUUGUCAUUAAAAUGGACAAAAAGGAAUGUAUCUAAAACUAAAAUACGUCUAGAUACAUUUCUUUUUGUUCAUUUUGAUGACAAGUAUUUCCGGACGGAGGGAGUACUUA
Non-coding RNA from Triticum aestivum (bread wheat), 135 nucleotides. The record is from Rfam. Lineage: Eukaryota; Viridiplantae; Streptophyta; Magnoliopsida; Poales; Poaceae.